Molecule: long non-coding RNA, 1197 nt
Filed under: Venturia canescens
Lineage: Eukaryota; Metazoa; Arthropoda; Insecta; Hymenoptera; Ichneumonidae
Description: uncharacterized LOC122410030, transcript variant X2
Source: RNAcentral
UCGAACGAACCACGCGUCAUUUACGGGCUCUUGUACGUUCUGUCUCUCGCAAAAAGCGUCAAAAGCUUUCGCGGUGAUUAUGUUUACUGACAAUUCAUCUUGAACGGACGAUCGCGAACGUUUCAUUCGAUGUUCUGCCGGCUCGUCAAUUCUUUUACAUGUGGACUGCAGCGCGAAUUCUUUCUCUCGUAUUCGGGCGAAUGUUUUUUACUCGACUUCACCAGUUGACAGUUUUUGCCCACUCCCGGUGACUCUUCCAGUGUCGGCGUUUUGGUCGAAAUUUCAUGGAGCACCUAACUCAAUCUCAAACUGGAGCCCCGGUGCGGUUCAUUCGGUGGAUAUAGUCACAGAUAGAAAGGACCCGAUCGUUGAGAGAUCCAUCAUUAUGGGGUGAUCAUUCGCAAGGAUCGGAAUGUCGUGAGCGUGAUGCGACUGCACCGUAGCUGAUAAUAGGAGUGAAACUGCAGAUUCACUCGAAUGAGGAAUAAUACCGGGUGUGCGAACGCGAGAAUAUGCUGUUGAAAAUUUUCCAAUGCCGACGUUGGACAACUAUGCGUGACUUAUCGAAGCGACGAAAAUUCAAACUAUUUUCAAGCGCAUAACUUUGACGAAAACUUUUCAUGCUUCGCUGAGAUUGUAAGGCGAAAUCCAGCGGAAUGGGAGAUACGCUAAAGUACAACAGAGAGACUUUACCGCUCAGCGACGCGAAUAAGAAAGGCGAGGAGAAAAACCGAACCGAAAAAGUGGGAUAAAACUUCAGGGAUAUAAUUGGAUCGAAUUGCGUGAGUGAUGGAGAAAGACGACGAUGCGGCAAUAUUGUCAUCUGGAUUCAAAUCGUGCUUUCAUUCAGCAUAUAAAUUGCAACAAACCUACGAUAGACGCCUGAAUAUACGCAAAAGCUUUUUUAUACCGAAAGUUUAAGUGUGAUCAGCUGUGAACAAAGUCUCUUGAUUUAAUCGAGUCGACUCACAAUUACACGGACUACAAUUGCUAGAAAAUUUUCAUUGUUCCAAGUUCAUUAUUAUUUCUACACUGUUUUUUUUUCUUUUUUUUUCAAUAAAAAUCGUUUUAUUUGCCCCUCAGGGAGUCGGAGAACGAAGGAAAGCACAUUUCCCCGUAUAGUUGGCCCACAUAUGCAUUUUUUUGUUCCAAAUGCCUUCGAGCCUCCGGAACAUGUUAGUUUUUUAAUCUGGCCAC